Molecule: ribosomal RNA, 483 nt
Filed under: uncultured bacterium
Lineage: Bacteria
Description: partial 16S ribosomal RNA
Rfam family: Bacterial small subunit ribosomal RNA
Source: RNAcentral
UUGAACGCUGGCGGCAGGCCUAACCCAUGCCAGUCGAGCGGAUGAGUGGAGCUUGCUCCAUGAUUCAGCGGCGGACGGGUGAGUAAUGCCUAGGAAUCUGCCUGGUAGUGGGGGACAACGUUUCGAAAGGAACGCUAAUACCGCAUACGUCCUACGGGAGAAAGUGGGGGAUCUUCGGACCUCACGCUAUCAGAUGAGCCUAGGUCGGAUUAGCUAGUUGGUGAGGUAAAGGCUCACCAAGGCGACGAUCCGUAACCGGUCUGAGAGGAUGAUCAGUCACACUGGAACUGAGACACGGUCCCGACUCCUACGGGAGGGAGCAGUGGGGAAUCUUUGGCAAUGGGGGGAAGCCUGAACCAGCCCAGGCGCGUGGGUGAAAAAAGUCUUCGGGUUGUAAAAGCCUUUUAGGUUGGGAGAAGGGGUGUGAAAUUAACUCCUUGCGUUUUGACGGUACCCAAUAAAAAAGCCACGGCUAACUUCGUG